AGCAGCCGCGGUAAUUCAAGCUCCAAUAGCGUAUAUUAAAGUUGUUGCAGUUAAAAAGCUCGUAGUUGAAUUUCGGGAUCGAAUUGUUGGUCGUGCUUCGGUACGCACUGGCAUUAUCGGUUUCUACCUUCUGAAGAACCGCGAUGUCAUUAAUUUGGUGUCGUGGGGAAUCAGGACUGUUACUUUGAAAAAAUUAGAGUGUUUAAAGCAGGCUUACGCUUGAAUACAUUAGCAUGGAAUAAUGAAAUAGGACGUUUGAUUCUAUUUUGUUGGUUUCUAGGAUCGACGUAAUGAUUAAUAGGGAUAGUUGGGGGCAUUAGUAUUCAAUUGUCAGAGGUGAAAUUCUUGGAUUUAUUGAAGACUAACUACUGCGAAAGCAUUUGCCAAGGAUGUUUUCAUUAAUCAAGAACGAAAGUUAGGGGAUCGAAGACGAUCAGAUACCGUCGUAGUCUUAACCAUAAACUAUGCCGACUAGGGAUCGGAUGAUGUUAAUUUUAUAAUGACUC
This 506-nucleotide ribosomal RNA is filed under the name uncultured Glomeromycotina. RNAcentral describes it as "SSU rRNA". It matches the Rfam family "Eukaryotic small subunit ribosomal RNA", at positions 569 to 1077 of the family's 1831-position model. Lineage: Eukaryota; Fungi; Glomeromycota. The record is from RNAcentral.